Long non-coding RNA from Helianthus annuus (common sunflower), 1267 nucleotides. RefSeq lists it as uncharacterized. NCBI's taxonomy places the organism in Eukaryota, Viridiplantae, Streptophyta, Magnoliopsida, Asterales, Asteraceae. The transcript has 2 exons. The record is from RefSeq and is a predicted model, not a curated record.
UUUACGACACAAAGGAUAUUUUUAACCGGCGUACUUAAUAUUCAACAUGUAAGCUAUCAUACUUAAUAAUUUACAUUUGAGCAACAACAUAGUUGUUAGUUGAUCCUUUAUAAAAAAACAAGUGUUAGAAUUUGGUAUCAAAUAUGAAUUAAAAGAGAAUGACAAAUAGAUGAUAGUCGAAUGCUUUAAUUUCCCUAACCAUGUUCUUCAAAUUUCCAGUAUUCUAUAAUGUAUAUGCCUUAACUUUUUUGCAAAUCUUGGUAUCCAAAAUGGGAGAUAGAGCUGGUUGAUGAUUUUGGUGCCAACAUAUCAAUUUAAGAAUUCGGUACCAACCGGUAUCAUACCGAACAACCAGUACCGUACCGGUAUUUUCGGUACGGUACCAACUUUUCAUGAAUAUCGGGAUCGGUAUCGGUUCGCAACCGUGCUCAUCCCUAUUGGUAACUGGUGGUGAAACCCCGGUAAGUGUUUCCUCACUUACAUGUUCCACCCAUUUGAUAGAUCGGUCGCGGAAGUUCUAAAAAGUCGACCACAAUUAUACGCCCACCAGGUGAAAGGAGUGUAUACAUGACAUCAUUAACGUCAUCUCCUGUCAUUCUGUUAUCGUAAUUUUAUAGACAUAACUAGCUGGUAAUUAAGUAUUAAAAUUAUACAAAUUAUACAUUUUCUAUAAACCUAAAUGCUUCGACCCGUUACAUAACCAAUAUAUAUUUUCAGUUGUGUAAAUAGUGUCUGUGUAUGUAGGUGUUUUGGCAUGACUUAACUUUUUUAAAUUAUUAGGUUAUAACAACUGUUAACUAACACUUAACAAUGCUUUAUUAUAUAUAAAAUAUAAUUGACUAACUGUAGCUACAACUGGAGUUAGUUUGCAAGCUAGAGGGGUCAAUGAUAGCACAUGGAGUGAAACUCAUUUUUCUACACAUAUUAUGUCUAUGCAUGUUAUGUUUAAUCGGUGUUCUUACUAUGAUUUUGUUUGUAUAAGUUUGCUAUCUUGUAGAUCCAGGUCAACUAGAAGGAGGCCAGUCUAAAUCCGAGGGCCAGAAGGAUACAGAAGGCACAGAGCGCACGACUUCCAGUAGCAGUGCAAUAAAAUCUACAAAUGAUAGCGCUUUAUCAUCGAAUUCGACUAUAGUUGUUCCUGUUGGCCUUAGCUUAGGAGCGAACUGUAUGUUGAUUUCCGCAAGUUUCCUGAAAUGUACGACAAACCUUCAUGGUUGCACUGGAAUCGAUUCUCAUAUUUGCAGCUUGGAUAUCUUGGAUUUCUGUC